UGUAAACGGAGGAGCUACAAAAAUGGCAACGUCGAAGAAAAGCACACCGUGGUCGACCGAGGAGGUGACGACGUUCCUUAAUCUCAUUGGGGAUGAUAAAAUCCAGCGGGAGCUCGACGGAACAACGCGAAAUGUGAAAGUGUUCCAGGAUGUCUCUGCACAGAUGUCCGAACGCGGAUUUUCGAGGACUUUCCUGCAGUGUAGGGAAAAACUCAAAAAGAUGAAGAGUGAAUAUCGCCAAGUAAAGGACAACAAUAACACGAGUGGUGCGGGUAGGAAACAAUGGAAGUGGUUCGACUUGUUGGACCAGAUUAAUGGUCAUAGACCGGCCAACGUUGGGAGGGAGGGAGGGAGGCCUGGACUCUGCAACGGCUUUACUGGAGUCCCUGCAAGGUACGCUCACUAAUAACAAAGAAGUCUAUUUUAUCCUUACAUUAAUGUUCGACAACCCAUGCUUUUAUGGAGCCCCGAAGAGCUACAUAGCUAGCUAAGGCAGAUAGCCUUAGCUAGAGCUAUUGUUUGCUAACACCAUAUGUGCCAUUGUGUACGUUCAGUUUUUCUUUUCUAUAGUUGUUGUUGCUAUUUAGUAUUGUGCUGCAGUAGUUUGUGGAAUUAACAAGUCAUUUUGCUGUUCUAAAUGAUUACAUUGGGACUCGUGAGGAGGAACAUUCCCGAACAACGGGUGAUGGCAGUGUUCCGUCCACAACAUCGUCAUCGAAUCCAGAACGGACCCCAGCUCGACCACAGACACUAGCCGAAGAACCGACACCAACUCAACCACCAACGCCGAGUGCCAUCACGACACUGCAGCGUGUGGUUCUAGGCAAGAGGAAACGAGGAGGAGAGGAUCGGGCCCAGCAGGAACGGCACCAUGAACAGCACAUGGCCCAGCAGGAACGGCACUUGGACUGGGCCAAAGUGUCUGCUGAGCGGAGAUGGGAGUUGAGAAGGGAGGAGGCUGCUCAAGCAGAGACCUUCAACCUAGCCUUCCUGCGCACUCUUGGCGAGGUGCUAGGGGGACUGGGCAGCCGACGUGGCCCGUCUCCUCCGUGAUACUUAAAAUAACCUUAAUAGUUAUUGUACAUAUUAUAUAUUUGUUAUCUAGUUAAUUUUUAAAUGCAACAUUUGUACUUUCUUGUUUAUUUAUUUUCUUUUAAAAUGUUCAUCGUAUUUUUAUUUUUACAAUGCGAUGUAUAUUUACGCUGGCUGCAAUACAGUUUUACAUUUUUUAUUUGUAUUGUUUAAUGGCAUGCCUUUUUGAUACAACAUUUUUUUUGUAUUUUUAUACUGCCAUCAAUAAAGUACUUAUUUUAUUUA
Gymnodraco acuticeps is the source of this 1317-nucleotide long non-coding RNA. RefSeq lists it as uncharacterized. The record is from RefSeq and is a predicted model, not a curated record. The transcript has 2 exons. Lineage: Eukaryota; Metazoa; Chordata; Actinopteri; Perciformes; Bathydraconidae.